CCUACGGGUGGCAGCAGUCGAGAAUCAUUCACAAUGGGGGAAACCCUGAUGGUGCGACGCCGCGUGGGGGAAUGAAGGUCUUCGGAUUGUAAACCCCUGUCAUGUGGGAGCAAAUUAAAAAGAUAGUACCACAAGAGGAAGAGACGGCUAACUCUGUGCCAGCAGCCGCGGUAAUACAGAGGUCUCAAGCGUUGUUCGGAAUCACUGGGCGUAAGGCGUGCGUAGGCUGUUUCGUAAGUCGUGUGUGAAAGGCGCGGGCUCAACCCGCGGACGGCACAUGAUACUGCGAGACUAGAGUAAUGGAGGGGGAACCGGAAUUCUCGGUGUAGCAGUGAAAUGCGUAGAGAUCGAGAGGAACACUCGUGGCGAAGGCGGGUUCCUGGACAUUAACUGACGCUGAGGCACGAAGGCCAGGGGAGCGAAAGGGAUUAGAUACCCCUGUAGUC
This 446-nucleotide ribosomal RNA is filed under the name uncultured bacterium. RNAcentral describes it as "partial 16S ribosomal RNA". It matches the Rfam family "Bacterial small subunit ribosomal RNA", at positions 338 to 795 of the family's 1533-position model. The record is from RNAcentral.